Molecule: ribosomal RNA, 524 nt
Filed under: uncultured bacterium
Lineage: Bacteria
Description: bacterial SSU rRNA
Rfam family: Bacterial small subunit ribosomal RNA
Source: RNAcentral
AAGCCUGACGGAGCAYGCCGCGUGAGGGAUGAAGGCCUCUGGGCUGUAAACCUCUUUUAUCAAGGAAGAAGAUCUGACGGUACUUGAUGAAUAAGCCACGGCUAAUUCCGUGCCAGCAGCCGCGGUAAUACGGGAGUGGCAAGCGUUAUCCGGAAUUAUUGGGCGUAAAGCGUCCGCAGGCGGCCCUUCAAGUCUGCUGUUAAAAAGUGGAGCUUAACUCCAUCAUGGCAGUGGAAACUGUUGGGCUUGAGUGUGGUAGGGGCAGAGGGAAUUCCCGGUGUAGCGGUGAAAUGCGUAGAUAUCGGGAAGAACACCAGUGGCNAAGGCGCUCUGCUGGGCCAUCACUGACGCUCAUGGACGAAAGCCAGGGGAGCGAAAGGGAUUAGAUACCCCUGUAGUCCUGGCCGUAAACGAUGAACACUACGUGUCGGGGGAAUCGACCCCCUCGGUGUCGUAGCCAACGCGUUAAGUGUUCCGCCUGGGGAGUACGCACGCAAGUGUGAAACUCAAAUGAAAUUGACGGA